This 351-nucleotide unclassified non-coding RNA is filed under the name fungal sp. RNAcentral's name for it is "partial internal transcribed spacer region". The stretch from base 1 to 46 matches the Rfam family "Eukaryotic small subunit ribosomal RNA", at positions 1786 to 1831 of the family's 1831-position model. The record is from RNAcentral. Lineage: Eukaryota; Fungi.
AAGUCGUAACAAGGUUUCCGUAGGUGAACCUGCGGAAGGAUCAUUAACACGUAUCCAACGUUAAACCCCCCUGUGAACCUUUAGUGUGCUCCCUCAUUCUGUUGGAACGUGGCAAUCCCUGGUAAAUCAUCGCCGAACAGUUUUGAUUCAGGGACUUCUGCAAAGAGUGCUGGUUGUAGCGCGAGGCAAGUGGCCUGGCAUUCCUCUGCUUGUUAGUGUCUGAAAGUGUCACUGGCUCUGUAAGAAUGGCGCAGUCACGCCCCCCUAUCACCCCUUUGCAUGAAAACGGGCCUGCGCUUAAUUGUGCGGCCAUAAACCGAACAACUGUUAACAAUGGAUAUCUUGGUUCUC